AAAUUUUAAUCUUAACAAUUAUUCUGUUAUUAUAUAGUUAAAGAUGUGGGAGCCAUUAACAACAUUGUAAUCAUACAUUAUUACUUGUGUUUUCAGUUGAGGAUAAAGAGGAAGCUCUCAAAGCAGAUGCUGCUGAAGUUAAGUCACAUGGAUGGAUUAAAUAUAAUUCACGUUGCUUUUGACUCAUGAGGUCAAGUGUGUCCUGGCUCAGUGCUGAGGUAAAUAUCAGAAUUAUAAAAUUAAACAUGGUAGCUGAACAGUCACGACUGGCAUCUGUACACAAUAUUGGGGAACAUAAAUUCCUGCAGAAUUUGCUGGAAAUGGCUGGUCUAUCAUACGCUUGGAUUGGUGCUUACAACUUCCAGGUAAUACACUUGUAUAUCACAAUGGCCUCUGAUUGGCAUCUGAAUUGAAAUAAAAAAAAUUAUUUAACCAUUUGUGGUCCUGUGUUAUUGAUAUUAUUGGUCUGUAAGACAUAUGAUUGUGUAUUGUCUAGGGAUCAUGGCUGUGGGUUGACACAGCUCGGUUCUUCUACAGUAACUGGUACUCACUGAGCAAUGUGCCCAGCUACCCAUGUGCUGUCAUGAGGAACAAUGUUGGCUGGACUAACACUAACUGUGGAUAUUUAUAUCCAUUCAUCUGUGCUAUUGACCUAAAUACAUGUUACAGGAGUGAGUGAUAACAUUUUGCUGAUGAUAUGAUUAGGAGUAAAAUAAACUGUGAUUAUUUUUGAGAACUUUUUGAAUA
Long non-coding RNA from Hemibagrus wyckioides, 747 nucleotides. RefSeq lists it as uncharacterized. The transcript has 3 exons. The record is from RefSeq and is a predicted model, not a curated record. NCBI's taxonomy places the organism in Eukaryota, Metazoa, Chordata, Actinopteri, Siluriformes, Bagridae.